AGAAAAGAAGCAAAAAUUGCAUUUAGUUUCGGCCUAAAAGUUUGAUGAAUCCAUCCUUUUCUU
This 63-nucleotide transfer RNA is filed under the name Nortia carinicollis. Its description in RNAcentral is "tRNA-Arg". The record is from RNAcentral. Lineage: Eukaryota; Metazoa; Arthropoda; Insecta; Coleoptera; Cerambycidae.